RNAcentral lists this ribosomal RNA (434 nucleotides) under uncultured Lachnospiraceae bacterium. RNAcentral's name for it is "bacterial SSU rRNA". It matches the Rfam family "Bacterial small subunit ribosomal RNA", at positions 341 to 792 of the family's 1533-position model. Lineage: Bacteria; Bacillati; Bacillota; Clostridia; Lachnospirales; Lachnospiraceae. The record is from RNAcentral.
ACGGAAGGCAGCAGUGGGGAAUAUUGCACAAUGGGGGAAACCCUGAUGCAGCGACGCCGCGUGAGUGAAGAAGUAUUUCGGUAUGUAAAGCUCUAUCAGCAAGGAAGAAAAUGACGGUACUUGACUAAGAAGCCCCGGCUAACUACGUGCCAGCAGCCGCGGUAAUACGUAGGGGGCAAGCGUUAUCCGGAUUUACUGGGUGUAAAGGGUGCGUAGGUGGCAGGGCAAGUCAGAUGUGAAAGACCGGGGCUCAACUCCGGGGCUGCAUUUGAAACUGUCUUGCUGGAGUGCAGGAGGGGCAAGCGGAAUUCCUAGUGUAGCGGUGAAAUGCGUAGAUAUUAGGAGGAACACCGGUGGCGAAGGCGGCUUGCUGGACUGAUACUGACACUGAGGCACGAAAGCGUGGGGAGCAAACAGGAUUAGAUACCCUGGUA